CCCCGACCUGAGUGGAGCUCUUUUUGCGAGGAGGCACGCCGAACAAAAAAGCGGGAACGGAGGGCGGAAAAAGCU
This 75-nucleotide unclassified non-coding RNA is filed under the name Epilithonimonas hominis. Its description in RNAcentral is "Chryseobacterium hominis Flavo-1 RNA". Lineage: Bacteria; Pseudomonadati; Bacteroidota; Flavobacteriia; Flavobacteriales; Weeksellaceae. The record is from RNAcentral.